GACGAACGCUGGCGGCGUGCUUAACACAUGCAAGUCGAGCGGUAAGGCCCUUUCGGGGGUACGACGAGCGGCGAACGGGUGAGUAACACGUGGGUGACCUGCCCUCAGCUCUGGGAUAAGCCUGGGAAACUGGGUCUAAUACCGGAUAUGACUCCAUGACGCAUGUCGUGGGGUGGAAAGCCUUGUGCGGCUGGGGAUGGGCCCGCGGCCUAUCAGCUUGUUGGUGGGGUGAUGGCCUACCAAGGCGACGACGGGUAGCCGGCCUGAGAGGGCGACCGGCCACACUGGGACUGAGACACGGCCCAGACUCCUACGGGAGGCAGCAGUGGGGAAUCUUGCGCAAUGGGCGAAAGCCUGACGCAGCGACGCCGCGUGAGGGAUGACGGCCU
RNAcentral lists this ribosomal RNA (389 nucleotides) under uncultured bacterium. RNAcentral describes it as "bacterial SSU rRNA". It matches the Rfam family "Bacterial small subunit ribosomal RNA", at positions 28 to 417 of the family's 1533-position model. The record is from RNAcentral.